ACCAGGGCUCAGCUCCAGCACGCCUGACACCAUUCACCCAGGAACCCAGGCUUACACGCCCCUCCCCUUCUGAGCUUGAUAUGGAGGGAAGAUGGCAGCAGCUGACGUGAUCUGCUGGCUGGCGCCGCAGCCCGCGUGUCUGUCUAGUAAUUGCUCAUGCCCACAGAAGCCACCUUGCACAAAGCUCCUGGAUUGACAUUCCUGCAAAGCUGUGCCUGAAAAUCACAGGAGGGAGGUGGGGCAUCUGGCUUAUGAGCUUGCUUUGAGCCAAGAGGGAGUUUUUGGGUUGAAAAUGGCUUGUCUAGGGCCCUGUUCUCUGGCAUUAGUUGCCGACUCUGAAAGAGGGGCUUUCAGCCAAAAGGAAAGUGUGCCAGAGGGAACCAACCCAGCGUACAGAGAGGUGUAGGUUUCCUUUUCCACAGGGUGUUCAAUAGUCUGCAUCAGCUAGAGAAGGAGCCGUGUGCCAAGAACCCCGAUUCUGGAAUGAAACUGGCUGGAGCAAAACACAACUGACUGGUCAUGUGACUCAACCUCCUCAUCUGCAAAGUGCAGAAGCUACAGUUUUCGGCGGACACAACAUCUUUGUUUCUACGUGGUGCUGAGGAUUGAACCCGGGCAGCACGCAUGCCAGGAAAUCAGAAUGGCUGCUGAUUCUAAAAGAGAAGCUACAGCAAUUUGGAAUCUCUUUGCACUACCAGCCAGUUUGCUGGAGGGAUUCCAGCUGGACCAUCACUUGGAGGAGAUGUGAACAAUUGGGCUUCCAGCACCUCCUUCUCCCUUUGUGGCUUUCCUCAGUUCAAUUCAACAAAUAUUUAUUGAACUCACAGUAGGAUGGAAGAAAUGGUAAAUGAGUGAAUCCACAGAAUGACUUUGUGUUAAGAUUCACAGGGAGGCUGUGAGAUGCUGCAAGAUUUUGAACCAUGACAGGUUUACAAGAGGGUCAGUCUGUCUACUGAGACAAGAACUGAACUAAAACAUCUUAAGAAUGGAUCUCCAUUACAGUGAUGGAAGCAGAUAAGUUUUCCUGAUUAACCCUCAGAGAAUUCAAUUAACUUCUAUUACCAGAACAUUCCAGUCUGCUUUGCCGGUUUGUACACAGGAGGGGCUUAAGGGCCAGCCAUCUCUUGGGAAGGGAGGCUGGAAUUUUGUCUUGAAGUCGUGUUGACCCGGCAGGCAUGCUGAUUCUGUUCAGAUUAUCUGGCCAUUUGGGAUGGUUAGAGGUGGCUAUUGGAAAUUAGGGGAAAUUAAAUCUUUGCAUUCUGUUUAUCAGACUUACAGAUAUCUUGGGCUUGGAAAUACACUAGUAUUUCAAAAGAAAAAUUCAAAGGGAGGAAGCUGCAGUGGUCUGCUCUUAUAACUUGUUUGUCAAUUUCUUUUCCAAUUUCCCCAUUCUCUUCUCUCAGAGGGAGACAGAGGUGAGAACCCGACUAUCAGGGCUAAUACCCAGAAAGGCUAUGAAAUACAGGGUGGGUACUUUUUUUUCUUUCCUUCUUCUUCUCUCCCCACUUUGUUGUUGUUGUUGUUGAAAAUAAGAACAAUGGACUGUGAAAUUAAAAAAUCUAUAAACUGGCAAUAUGGAAACAAUAUGCAUUUACCUAUUUCAAGGGACACUAUGGCAUCAAAAUCAGAGGAAUGGGCUGUGCAAAUACAAAUGAUGUAAUUUAAUCAUUUCCAAAUGGUCUUUCUUGUUUUAUUUCCACCCAUCCACUCCUUGCACAUUUAUUUAUUUAUUUUUUCUUUCCUAAUAUUUUUAUUUAUUUACUUAUUUAUUUGUAUUAGUUGCUCAUGACAAUACAAUGAUCUUGACAUCAUACAUUUGAUUCAAAUGGGGUAUGGAUUCUCAUUUUUCCACGUGU
Long non-coding RNA from Marmota monax (woodchuck), 1856 nucleotides. RefSeq lists it as uncharacterized. The record is from RefSeq and is a predicted model, not a curated record. The transcript is spliced from 4 exons. Lineage: Eukaryota; Metazoa; Chordata; Mammalia; Rodentia; Sciuridae.